This is a long non-coding RNA of Erigeron canadensis, 617 nucleotides long. RefSeq lists it as uncharacterized. The transcript is spliced from 2 exons. The record is from RefSeq and is a predicted model, not a curated record. Lineage: Eukaryota; Viridiplantae; Streptophyta; Magnoliopsida; Asterales; Asteraceae.
UUUUUGACUUCUUGUUACAUCUAUCUUCAUGCCUUGUCGAUUUGUUACAUCCUUUUUCUAUAUAAAUCGAAUAUUAUCGGACUACUACUGAAGCAUUUAUAGGCAGUAUAUUGGAAAAAUCCUUACUUGCCGGUAUAGGAAUAUGAAGUACUAUGGCUUCAUUUUGUGCUUUAUUGUUUUCCUUGCAAUUCUUGUAACUUCUUAUGCUGGAAGAACUUUUCCAUCGCAAACUCAAAAUACUAAAGUUGUUGAAGCACAAAAGGAUGCAUAUUAUACUAAUAGUGCAGGCCCGGGGGACUGGCAUCACCGACAUUAAUUUGCAGUUUAAUGUCACCGACUCACCGUGCAAAUGUGAUAUGUGUUCUAUAUAUGCUUCUCCUAUCUCUAAUAUAUAUAUAUAUAAAAUAAAUUAGUUAUAAUACCAUAAUUGUACGUGAUCUAUAUAUUGGUGUGUGUCAACCAAAUAUUUCUAUGUAUCAUAUAGUUCACCACUGAAUUAUGUCAUUCACCGGAUAGUGACGUUGAUGUUAUAUGCUGGUUUGUAAUUAAUUUACAUCAUAUGCCACAUAAUGUAUGCCUCUUAUUUUAUAUCAAAUAAAUUAAUUAGAUGCAUGGAA